Molecule: long non-coding RNA, 740 nt
Organism: Suricata suricatta (meerkat)
Lineage: Eukaryota; Metazoa; Chordata; Mammalia; Carnivora; Herpestidae
Exons: 4
Source: RefSeq, a predicted model, not a curated record
CCAGGAAAUAGGAACUGAGGACACACGUUUCUUUAGCCAGUCGAUCCAGCGAUGGACAGCCUUGUCUGAUGCUGAUGUUCUGUGAAGACAUUUGUGCUCAACAGGACACUGAGCUCUCCCUGAGAGUCCUGGGCCAACUCCCAGAUAUCAGCGCUGCAUUUCUCAACAUUUACUCACCUCAACCCAGAAGUUCCUCUUCUCAGGCAACGAUUACCAACAGUCACUGUGAACCAUUCAGGUCAAGAGUGAAAGAGGCAACAAGAAAAUGCAAAAGAAAAUAGCAUCUGUAAGGUCGGAGAUCAGUUUGUUGUUAUCACCGAGGUUGUCAUAAUGCUUUGAGAAGGAAGAGAAGCUCAAAAAGUAAGCGCAUUCUGAAAAACCAGGAGACCCUCCUCUGCAAAGCUCCAGGGUUUCCUUUGACUGCGUGUACUCACUGCGCUCGGGCUGGCGCGGAAACUCCUCGAGCACAGAACCCACCCACCGAAGCCUCCACCGCGCGGCUGCCGAGCCUGCACCCGCCGGUUCUCUCUGCUGCUGGGCCAGCGUGGCCAGCCUUUGCUUCCUGCUUGGACAAUUACCUGUGACUGGGCGGGAGAAGGGAGGGGUCUAGCACCUGUGACCCACAGGUCUGUGGCCUCGGUUCGACCUGACUGCCUGGCCAGCCAUUCCUUCCUGCGGGGAAGAUUACAGACAGACCGACGGGUGGGGGAGGAAGCGCUCUAAUAAAAGAGACCCAGACA